RNAcentral lists this long non-coding RNA (1347 nucleotides) under Musa acuminata (dwarf banana). RNAcentral's name for it is "long non-coding RNA (MACU_LNC009681)". The record is from RNAcentral. Lineage: Eukaryota; Viridiplantae; Streptophyta; Magnoliopsida; Zingiberales; Musaceae.
AGCAUAUUCAGAACAAAAGGAACGGUUUCAAACGAGUAAGGUAUCAUAAUGCAAGGCAGAAUACAAGAAUUCUCAAGGAUACCAUCUCAAUAGAUACCAAAUCAUACGUAUCAUGUCAUUCAAAAUAUAUUUGAUUCAUAACAAAUGGAGCAUAGAGUAAUUGAAGCAUAUCAAUGGCAGAUAGGACAUUUCAGAACAUAUCAGUUCAUAGCAAAUGGAGCACAAAGUAAUUGGAGCAUAUCAACAACAUAUGGAACAUUUCGAAACAUAUCAACAGUGGAUGAAACAUUUCAGAGCAUAUCAAUAACAAAUACCGUACAGAAGCUCAAACGUCGUCUUUAACGUUGCAAACAUAUCAAUCUUAUCCAAAACAUGUACAGAAACACAUAACCAAAGCUCUGGAUAUCAUAUCAAACAUACAGAAGGUGUAGUGGGAUCUCAGUCAGAAUGUGAUUCAUCCAUUUCUGAAUGACCACCUGACAAAAGUCUCCUACGUCUGGGAGCUCCAUCCACCCACGUCUAGGUGAAGUCAAAGGGGGCCGGCAGAGCAUCGCAGGCUCUAAGCAUAUACCCUCAUAGCGGGCAACAAGCGCAUACCCUUUACCAUUUCUGACAAAGGUCCAUAAUAUCCCACAUAACGGGACCCCACAUAGCGGGCAAUAAGCGCAUACCCUUUACCAUUUCUGGCAAAGGUCCAGACAAUCCCACACACCAGAGUACAAGAGGGUAGUUUUAACAAUAAGUAGCAUAUAUCGGAAGCACACGCGGAACAACAAAGCGUACAUGUGCCUUUACGAGUCAAUCCGAAGUAAGCAAUAAUCUUUCACAAGUAUAUUCAGAUUUGAAAGGAAUUGAAAGCAAGGGCACAUAUGGAAUCCAAGCAAUCACAUAUAACUCAAUUCAAUAAGAAGAUUUGAUGAAUUCAAUGUCCAAAGGAAUGAAACUGGAAUAGGCACAUAUCGAAAGCAAAUGUGGAACAAUAGGAUAUACAUGUGCCUAUAUGAGUCAAUACGAUAUAGCAUAAACGUUACACAACAGUUUUCAAGAAUGCAAUAAUUUUAAGGACAAGAGCAUACAAGAAUUCAAAGCAGUAAUAUAAAGCUCAAUUGAAUAAGAAAGCUAAAGGAUAUCAAUUUCCAAAGGAAUGAAACCAGAAUAUGAGAAAUCGACCAAAGCUCGAUUUCUGACAGAAUACAAAAGGCACAUUGAACAAAUGAUUCAAACUAUCAAUCGUGCUCCAAUUUACUCAGAAAUAAUCAUUGGAUUAUACUUUCAGAUAAGACAGGCUUCAUAUGAAUUGAGCUGUCCAACAGAGAGAGUUACAAAUGAUUUGGUAAGCAAGAGUCN